This 353-nucleotide ribosomal RNA is filed under the name uncultured bacterium. RNAcentral describes it as "bacterial SSU rRNA". It matches the Rfam family "Bacterial small subunit ribosomal RNA", at positions 8 to 351 of the family's 1533-position model. The record is from RNAcentral.
AGAGUUUGAUCAUGGCUCAGGAUGAACGCUAGCUACAGGCUUAACACAUGCAAGUCGAGGGGCAGCAUGGUCUUAGCUUGCUAAGGCUGAUGGCGACCGGCGCACGGGUGAGUAACACGUAUCCAACCUGCCGUCUACUCUUGGCCAGCCUUCUGAAAGGAAGAUUAAUCCAGGAUGGGAUCAUGAGUUCACAUGUCCGCAUGAUUAAAGGUAUUUUCCGGUAGACGAUGGGGAUGCGUUCCAUUAGAUAGUUGGGGGGUAACGCCACCAAGCCGACGAUGUCUAGGGGUUCUGGAGAGGAAGGUCCCCCANACUGGAACUGAGACACGGUCCAGACUCCGUACGGGAGGCAC